RNAcentral lists this long non-coding RNA (877 nucleotides) under Malurus cyaneus samueli. Its description in RNAcentral is "lncRNA (ENSMCSG00000002623.1)". Lineage: Eukaryota; Metazoa; Chordata; Aves; Passeriformes; Maluridae. The record is from RNAcentral.
AUAAACUGCAAAAAGAGCAAGAGCAGAAGGUGACGUUGGAGGCAACGAUCAGCCAUUUGCAGAGUAAGGAACACAGAGAUGCACAAAGUAAGAAACCUUCUUUGGUGCUGGGGACUAUAAUGUGAAUUUUUGUGUUCCCAGACUUGAUCCACAACCAGAACAACCAAUGGAAGAGGCAGGAGUUGUCGGUGCAAAGGAAAGACCAGGUUUCCACCACACAGACCCCACCUCUCACUCCUGCCAAGGAAAAACAAAAUGCUGUGCUAGAGCACCCCGAGGAGGAGGAGGGAAAAGAAAGUCUGAAGGAUGAGAUGCAGAAAAGGACAUCCCAGCUGAGAGCAAAGGAGAACGAGGAUCACCAGGAUGCUCCAGAGGCAGAGCGGGGCCGUGCCCCAGCACGGGGGCAGCGCUGUGGCCACUGUGGGAGCCCGGCCACCCCGGCCACCCUGGCUGUGUGCCAGCAGCAGGGGACACCUCCUGCUCAGAGCCCCUCGCUGUGCUCGCAGUGCUCGGAGCUGCGCUGGGAGCUGGAGGCGCUGAGCGAGGAGUACCAGUCGUGCCUGAGCCGGCUGCGCCAGUGCCGGGACGAGCUCAACCGCUCCCACGGCAGCCGGGCACAGAGACAGCGCUGUCACUGGAUCCCUUUCCUGGUGGCAGUGACAGCAGUGGCCAUCGCCGCCUUCCUCGCGAGUUACAGGCUGUGAAGGAGCUCUUUGAAGGCUGAUUUCACUGCAGGAACUUCACUGCAGGCUGACUUCACUGCAGGAAAGGACCUCUGUUUCACCAAAAGCAACAUGACCUCACCGCACCUUCUGCUGUUUUGGAUGUGCACGUUUGGUUCAUAUCCCGAGCUGAUCUCUCUCCAGCCAACUCCCAA